This 1641-nucleotide unclassified non-coding RNA is filed under the name Ixodes scapularis (black-legged tick). RNAcentral's name for it is "uncharacterized LOC121046467, transcript variant X23". Lineage: Eukaryota; Metazoa; Arthropoda; Arachnida; Ixodida; Ixodidae. The record is from RNAcentral.
GCAAAUCUCCUUGGGCUCCUUGGGCCCGUGGGACUGUAGGACGGACUUUGAAGACAUGUUCACCGAUGUGUUCACCGGUUUCACCGGUAGUAAUUGUUCAUCAAAUGGCAGGACUUCUUUCAGAAAAAGCGUCGCCAACCAACAAUCAGAAGAAUCUGCCCCUUGCAGAGAAAGCCAAGCCCCUGCACUCUUGGAUGUCCUGCAUUGUAGUAACGUGAAGACAGGGCAUCAUCAUGGUGAACAAUCUCUGCACGGGUAAAUGUCAAUAACAAGCAUGCACAAUGUGGUCAUCAAUGAUACCGCUGGCAAAAUGAUUUGACUUCAAGGCUCCUUCAAAGUUUUCCAGGAGGACAUGGGUCCUAAUAGGCUUUUGAUGCCUGGUGGUGUAAUCACAAAGAAAGGUCGUCUGCACAGCUUGAUGGAAGAUGGCCACAUGAAUCCUGAUGGGCUUUUGAUGCCUGAUGGUGUAAUUGCAUAAAGAAAGGGCAUCAGCACGGUGAACCGUUUUUGCACAGCUUGCUGGAAGAAGGCCACAUGAACCCUGAUGGGCUUUUGAUGCCUGGUGUAAUCGCAUAAAGAAAGGGGAUCACUAUGGUGAACAGUCUCUGCACAGCUUGAUGGAAGAUGGCCACAUGAACCCUGAUGGGCUUUUGAUGCCUGGUGUAAUCGCAUAAAGAAAGGGGAUCACUAUGGUGAACAGUCUCUGCACAGCUUGAUGGAAGAUGGCCACAUGAACCCUGAUGGGCUUUUGAUGCCUGGUGUAAUCGCAUAAAGAAAGGGGACCACUAUGGUGAACAGUCUCUGCACAGCUUGAUGGAAGAUGGCCACAUGAACCCUGAUGGGCUUUUGAUGGCUCAUGUUUCUGUCAAAUGACGAGGGGUCGUCAACAUGUCUCCAUUUUCGUGCAGAGGUCAACCUGAAGUCAAAACUCAAAUUACUACAUGCUUAGAGGUGGCAUUCAUGUUUUCAGAAGCAGUUAGUUUUAUUCUCGUGUCUCAUGGUUCCUUAAGUUUUCUGUAAUGCUCUCAUACCUACAUUGUUUGAUCAGCUGUGAUAUCAAAUCUUUACUGAUAAUGCCGUCUGAGCAAUUCUGUGAGAAGAGAGUUCAGUUUGCAUGCAAAAUCUUUGAUGUGGGUGUCCUUUCUCUUUGCAGAGGUCAAUCUGUCUGAAAUGAUGAGAUGCUUAGAGGCAACAUUCAUCUUCCAAAAUGUGAAGUCAAUCGGAAAUGAAAACUGAAAUAACGACCUGCUCAGAGGCAACAUUCGUCUUCCAAAAUGCAAGGUUAAUCUGAGGAGAAAACUGAAAUGACGACAUGCUCAGAGGCGACAUUCAUCUUCCAAAAUGCAAGCUCAAUCUGUCCGAAAUGAUGACAUGCUCAGAGGCAACAUUCAUCUUUCAAAAUGCAAGCUCAAUCUGUCCGAAAUGAUGACAUGCUCAGAGGCGACAUUCAUCUUUCAAAAUGCAAGCUCAAUCUGUCCGAAAUGAUGACAUGCUCAGAGGCGACAUUCAUCUUCCAAAAUGCAAGGUUAAUCUGAGGAGAAAACUGAAAUGACGACAUGCUCAGAGGCGACAUUCAUCUUCCAAAAUGCAAGCUCGAUCUGUCCGAAAUGAUGACAUGCUCAGAGGCAACAGUCAUCUUCC